RNAcentral lists this ribosomal RNA (1970 nucleotides) under human metagenome. RNAcentral's name for it is "bacterial LSU rRNA". It matches the Rfam family "Bacterial large subunit ribosomal RNA", at positions 1 to 1977 of the family's 2925-position model. The record is from RNAcentral.
GAAAGUAAUUAAGGGCGCAUGGCGGAUGCCUUGGCUCAUGGAGGCGAUGAAGGACGUGAUAAGCUGCGAUAAGCUGCGGGUAGGUGCAAAUAACCUUUGAUCCGCGGAUUUCCGAAUGGGACAACCCAAUUACCAUAAGGUAAUUAUCAUAUAUAUGAUAUAUGAGGCGAACCGAGGGAACUGAAACAUCUUAGUACCUCGAGGAAGAGAAAAUAAACUAAUGAUUCCCCUAGUAGUGGCGAGCGAACGGGGAUUAGCCCAAACCAAUGUUGUAUUCUGCAAUGUUGGGGUUGUAGGACUACGUUGUUGUACUUGAAUUGCGAGAAGAAUAUUCUGGAAAGUUUAGCCAUAGCAGGUGAAAGCCCUUUAUUCGAAGCAUGCCAAGACAUAGUAGUAUCCUGAGUAGCGCGGGACACGUGUAAUCCUGUGUGAAUCUGCCGGGCCCAUCCGGUAAGGCUAAAUACUCCCAUGAGACCGAUAGCGUACCAGUACCGUGAGGGAAAGGUGAAAAGAACUUCGAUAAGAAGAGUGAAAUAGAUCCUGAACCCAUGCGCCUACAAGCGGUCGGAGCAUUUUAUGAUGUGACGGCGUGCCUUUUGCAUAAUGAACCUACGAGUUACCGUCACUGGCAAGGUUAAUCCUCUUAAGUGGAGCAACCGCAGUGAAAGCGAGCCUUAACAGGGCGUUAAGUCAGUGGUGGUAGACGCGAAACCAAGUGAUCUACACUUGUCCAGGAUGAAGUUCCGGUAACACGGAAUGGAGGUCCGAACCAAUAAGCGUUGAAAAGCUUCUGGAUGAGGUGAGUGUAGGAGUGAAAGGCCAAUCAAACUUGGAGAUAGCUCGUACUCCCCGAAAGGCAUUUAGGUGCCGCGUGCAUCGAUCUCCAUAAGAGGUAGAGCGACCGAUAGGUCAAGAGGGCUUCACCGCCUAUCGAGACCUGACGAACUCCGAAUGCUUAUGGACUGCAGUCGUGCAGUAAGGGGGCGGGUGCUAAGGUCCGUCCCCGAGAGGAGAAGAAUCCAGACCGUCGUUUAAGGUCCCCAAAUUCUGUCUAAGUUAGUCUAACGAAGUCUGGUCCCCAUGACAGCCAGGAUGUUGGCUUGGAAGCAGCCAUUCAUUUAAAGAGUGCGUAACAGCUCACUGGUCGAGGGUCCGGGCAUGGAUAAUAAUCGGGUAUAAGGCAGAUACCGAAGGCGCGGGAUAGUAUUAAAAAAAGUAUCGGUAGGGGAGCAUUCCAUCGACGUUGAAUGAUAUAGGACAACUAUAUCUGGAGUUUAUGGAAAAGCAAAUGUAGGUAUAAGUAACGAUAAGGAGGGUAAGAUUCCCUCCCGCCGUAAGACCAAGGUUUCCCGGGCAAUGUCAAUCACCCCGGGGUUAGUCGGGUCCUAAGUCUCAGCCGAAUGGCGAUGGCGAUGGUAGAAACGGUUAAUAUUCCGUUACUGCUUUAAUGAGUGAUGGGCAGACGAAGAAGUGACACCACCGCGAGGCGACGGAAGUCCUCGUUGAAGAGUGUAGGAGUUGAUGAUUGCAGGUAAAUCCACAAUCAGAUCCGAACUUGAUAGUAUGGUUUUCUCCUCGGAGCGAACCAAUAGUGUGGGUAAUCCUGCUUCCAAGAAAAUGCUCUAAACAUAUUGUUAAAGCACCCGUACCGUAAACGGACACACGUAGUCGGGUAGAAUAUACUAAGGCGUUGAGAGAUUCAUGGUUAAGGAACUAGGCAAAUUGACCCCGUAACUUCGGGAUAAGGGGUCCUCAUAGUAAUAUGAGGCGCAGAGAAUAGGUCCAGGCAACUGUUUAACAAAAACACAGGGCUGUGCAAACUCGAAAGAUGAUGUAUACAGCCUGACACCUGCCCGGUGCUGGAAGGUUAAGAGGAGAGCUUAGAUGUAUGUCGACGGUUUGAAUUGAAGCCCCAGUAAACGGCGGCCGUAACUAUAACGGUCCUAAGGUAGCGAAAUUCCUUGUCGGGU